This 194-nucleotide ribosomal RNA is filed under the name uncultured Glomus. Its description in RNAcentral is "partial 18S ribosomal RNA". It matches the Rfam family "Eukaryotic small subunit ribosomal RNA", at positions 569 to 766 of the family's 1831-position model. The record is from RNAcentral. Lineage: Eukaryota; Fungi; Glomeromycota; Glomeromycetes; Glomerales; Glomeraceae.
AGCAGCCGCGGUAAUUCCAGCUCCAAUAGCGUAUAUUAAAGUUGUUGCAGUUAAAAAGCUCGUAGUUGAAUUUCGGAAUCAAUUUGUUGGUCGUGCCUCGGUACGUACUGGUAUUAUUGAUUCCUACCUUCUGACGAACCAUGAUGUCAUUAAUUUGGUGUCUUGGGGAAUCAGGACUGUUACUUUGAAAAAAU